RNAcentral lists this long non-coding RNA (3504 nucleotides) under Nicotiana benthamiana. RNAcentral describes it as "long non-coding RNA (NBEN_LNC014091)". The record is from RNAcentral. Lineage: Eukaryota; Viridiplantae; Streptophyta; Magnoliopsida; Solanales; Solanaceae.
GAUUAUAAGUCUUCCUUCUUUCAGAUUACUCUUUCUAUAUCUUUUUCAACUCCUUCCAUAUAUUUUUAAUCUUCCUCCAUAUAUUAUUCAUAUCCCUCCGAUUUUCUCUAAGUUAAGUAUUUUUAUAAGUUUAAUUUAUUUUUCAAAAACCCACGCCUUAGUGUGAACCCGCAAAAUAAAGCCCUCCGCCCCAAAAUUCAUAUAGCCGGAGCAAGCCUCAGUUUUGUCGACCUUCAACCGUCGGUGUUUCGGCCAGCAAUCGUCGGUUCUCUACCUUCAUUAUCUUUGGGAUUAUCAAAUCUCGGGUCUUCCUCUAUCUAUCUUCAUAUCUUUAGCUCGAUAUUUCUUAGGGUAUUACUUAUUGAAGUUAUUUAGGAGUCCAUCUAUAUGCAAACUGAAGUAUUUCAUGCGAAAAGUUUCAAAUAGUGGAACAUGAAUUCUCAAAUUUGAUUUUAUAGGUGGAAGAAAUUUUUCUGUAUGCGAGAUUAAAGUGGAAUUUGCCCCCUUUUCAGUUAAGAUUCUUCUUCUUUGAUUUUUUUUUUUCUUAAUUACCUGUUUUGACCCAUUUUCUUAUAGUUUUUUUCUGCUAUUUCUAGUUAGUAGUUUUCCUAUUAUCUUUUGGAGAUAGCGACUUCGCUAAAGGAAGGAAUGAAAAAGAUAAAUUAAAUUAGUUUUAUAGUGCAUUUCAUCAAAAUGAUCUCACUUGGAUUUGCGAUGGUUAAUUGAAAAUGCAACAUUGGAACUCUAGUACCAGAACAUUUGCAAUUUAAAAUUUUUUCAAGUAUGAAUUUUAUGUAUGUUUUAUAGCGACUUAACCCUGCAUGUCGAAGUAUAAUAUUGAAGUGUAAUAUUUUCGCCACUGAUUGUUGUGAGAUAUUAUUCUCCUUAGUUCUUCAUGUUCCAUUCACCAAAUGGUGUAUCUAUAGCUUAAUGCCUCAUUAUCUUACUAUUUCCACCAAACAAAGUGAAAAGAAGUAAAGUUAUAUACACAAAUAUUGUGGAAAUUAUAUACACUAAUGGAGGACUGGAUGAUUUAAUCUAGGAAGAUCACGUAAUAAUAACCUUAAUUCAUCGCCAUAUCCUCUUAUAUUCCUUAUGCAUGAUACUUCAUAUGCCUUUUGGUAAAAUAAUCCUAGAAUGUUGUAGGUAAUUGAAUUUUGUUGAUAUAUCUCUUGUACAUUGUGUCGUGAAUCUAGUAUUUAGUUGUUUGCUACUGCUUUUAAGUUUAUUUCUCUGUUGCAAAGAUCAAGUAGCUUUCCAUUCGGUGAUAAUUUUGUAAGUAUCCCAUGUUCCUUCUUAUUCUUUAAUGUUCCGCCGUGACCUCCUCUAUCAAACCCCCAAAGCCCCUUCCCUCGAAUCUGACUGGAACCCUUCGAAUACUAAAUUGAAGUUUUCCGGCCAAAACCUUAAUUACUCCAAACUACUCCAAAUUGAUACCACAUGGUCCCCUGGAUUCCCUCAUGAGGAAUUAAGCGUCAAUAGCACUCAAUUCCCACAGGAGAUGGCCGGAUUUGAACUUUGAGAGUUAGCCGGAGUUUUGAAACCGAGUUAGUGAGUUCCCCGAUUUUCUUCUCUUUUUCCUUUCUGGCGUUAAUUUAUUUGUCAUGACUGUUUGGCUUCUUGAUUACAUACUAAUCUUGGUUGUUAAUAAGUGCUAAUCCAAAAAUCAAUAAGUCCUCUUCAAUUCUGUUUCAAUUUCGUUCAACAGUUAUUUCAGUCCGAUCUUAUCAUUGUUUUAGUUUCUAGUUUAGUUUUGUUUGAUUGGUUUAAACUUGCCUGGGUAAUUCUUGGUGUUAGCUUAAUUGUUGUUUGAAUCCGUUCUAAUACAUGUUACAGUUUAUAAUUCUAAUUGAUUUUGUCUGGCCAUUGUUUGAUUUUAAUCUGCAUUGUUUGAUUUGCUAGUUUUGAUCAGUCAGUUUAAUUUAGUUUAAAUUCAUUAGUUGCAUUAGUAAUUCCAUACUCAAGGAUUAGUUUAAGGUUUGUUAGUGUUCUUGCUUAGCUCUUUAGGAUCAAUAAUUUCAGAUAGAUAAAGGGUAGUUUAGGCAUUUCUGACAAAGAAUAUUGUAGUAACUGAGAAUGAACUUCCUAGAAGCUUCUAAAUGGGGGCUUUAGGUAAAUUACAAAAGAUAAGUGUACUAACUUGGGUAACAAGUCAAUAAGUAGAGGACUAUUGUGAAAAUAGAAGAAGGACCAAAAGGAAAAUAGAAAAAUUGAGGGUUGCCCUCAUUAUUGCCUAUAAAAGGCAGUCCUCUUUGCUUCAUUCAUAAGUUUGGACCCCCAAAAUUCCCCCCAAAACAGUCUUAGUUCCUAGAAGUUAAUUUGAAUUUCAAAUUCAAACAUUAGAUCUCAAAUUUUCUUUCUCAUCUUAGAAAAAUCAAAAAAAUACACAAAAGCCACAGCAAAAUACAAAAAAACACUGUUACAUUGAUCAUUUUUUCAGAUUUCAGCUCUUAAUUCAACUGGUUGGAUCAUUUAGGAUAAAAAACAACUCGAAUUUCUCUAUUUGUGUUCUAUGUUCGAGAGUUAAAGCAUUUGCAAGUAGUUUGGGGUUUAUUCAAGUUGUUAUUGAUGUUUCUAAGUGUUGACUAGUUUUCUGGGCUUCUGGGCUCAAUUUCAAGUCUAUUUGCGUCUAUUCAAGUCAUCUUAGUUGAUUCGUGGUUCUAUCUUAUUUUGAUCACUUUCUGGAUUAUCGAGUUCAUCUCUGGGCUGUAUUUGAUUCCUGCUUGCUACUGCGGCUGAUACUUCUUCCUUUUUUUGUGAUUCUAAUACCAGGUACACUUUCAUAGCCUUUAAUGAUCUGGAAGUUUGAUUCAUGUGUAUGAAUAAUUUGGGGAAUAAAUGAAGAAGAGUUGGUAUCUGUUGACCUGAGUUUACUUAGAAUCAUUUUUAGCUUUUAAUAUUCAUUUUAGCUAUUCAUGUUUAAUUGUAAUUAUAACAAUUGUUUGAACUGUCUGAUGUGUAUUGGACUAUAAUAGGACUGUUUUGAGACUAUUCUUAACUUGUGGAUUGUGAGUUGAUUUUAUGUCGGCCUGUGAGCAGGUGAAUCCAUUAAUUAGUAAUUUUAUUUUGGGUUUAGCUUGUGUUACGAGUGUAGUGUAAUUCGAAUCUAUAUGAUAGUUGUAUUUUACAGUUGGAAAUUGAACUAAUAAUCAGUACGCAUGCUCCUAUUAUGUUAAGCAAUAAACAGUUUUAGUAAUAAUUCAGUAGUGCAAUUUUGGAAUCACGAGAUCGCCUGAAUGUUGAAUGACAGCUUAGUAAUGCUAAUUUGAAUAAGUAUCAUGUAAUUGAGCUGCUAAUACUGUUGUUUUCAGUUUGAUUUUUACCUUUAGUGAAUAUUAGGAGCUCACUAGUAGAUAGAUAAAUAAGAUAAUCUAAGUAUGGAACUGGAGACAAGAGGGGCUUGGUCUGAUGGUAACCAACCCUCACUUACAACCGAAAGGUUGUGAGUUCGAGUCUCCCCAGGAGCAAAUUCUGGGGAUUUAUGCCGGGGGUCUAUUUGGAAAC